This is a long non-coding RNA of Aedes albopictus (Asian tiger mosquito), 1422 nucleotides long. RefSeq lists it as uncharacterized. Lineage: Eukaryota; Metazoa; Arthropoda; Insecta; Diptera; Culicidae. The transcript is spliced from 2 exons. The record is from RefSeq and is a predicted model, not a curated record.
GCAUCCGCAACAUUGGUGGCUCCAGAGAGGAAAAUGUUGCUAGCCACGCGCCUAGAGUAUGACUCUGGAGUCCUUCAAUACCACAUUCGGAGAGGUUCGAGCUGAUAUGGCAAACAUCACCCAAGAUCAGAAGCAGAUACUGGCAAAAAUUCACGAUUCUAAAACCGAGAUGUGAUUUUUUCAUCAGCAUUCGAGUUACAAUCGAUCAAGGUGAUCAUCCGAGCUUUAACUUAUGCAUUAACGUUCGAAAAUCGCUUCCGCAACAUUGGUGGCUCCAGAGAGGAGCGGUGCCUGUAGCUCGAUAGUGGUCAAUAGAAACUACAGUAGAAUUUGAGAAUAAAGAAAUCCAGAAUUAUUAACACAGAAAAACCCGAGGAGACUGGUUAUGUGGUACCCGACCAAUUUUCCAGCUAAUAAAAAUUGUAGUCGUGAAACCUGACAAAAGCCGCCGCAACAAUAAAGCGUAGUUUGUAGUUGGGAUCAAGCGUAGGGUACACUCGUUGGAUCCUCGACCAGAGAGAAACCAACCCAAGUAACACAUUUGUCACAGAAGAGUCACGGCGGCGCUGGUUUUUGUCCCAGCAGAAGUCCCAGUGACUUAUUUCUAGCAAACAAACAUUUGUUUGUUAGAAGUAAGUCGCAGUGACUUUUGCGCAACAAAAUUCUGCGCCGUCGUGACUCUUUUGCGACAAAUGUGUUACUUAAGAAGCCGACCGUGGGCGGAUUCAGUCAGAAUAUUGUGUACAUAGGCGUCAAAGCAUUUUAACUUCUUUUUUUCUUUGUUUUGUCUUUUUUGUGUUAACGAAUAUUGAUGACCAUCCUGUGUCUCAGUGUUGUUAAUAUCACUGGAAUGAAGACGUUAUUGAGCCGCAAAAUCGCAAGCGAAAAAGAAAGAUUUGUUCCGCUAGGAAAUCUUCUCUGGUAAUUAUUACGGAAAAUGUUCCAGAAGUUCUCCCGACAGUUUCUCCAGAAAAUCUUCAAAAUAAACUUUGGAAAUUAUUUCCAAAUGCCAUCCGCGAGUCUUUCAGAAAUUUCUACAGGAACGCUUCUGGAAAUUUUUCGGAAAAUUCUUUCGCUGAUUCAUUCUUAAGAUCUUCUGGGAACUCUUGACCGAUAUCCUCAGUCAAAACAUCUGAAAGUUUCCUGUAGAAUUCUAGCGGAAGUUUCUCCGCGAGUAAUAUUUGAAACUCCUCCUUUUUUCAAAAGUUCUUUCACAAUUUUUGUCAAAAGUUGGCUGCGAAAUUUUCCCACAACACCCUUUAGAAAUUCUCCUGGAAGUUUUCUGAGCAGCUCUUCCGAAAAUUCCUAUAAAAAAUCUUCAGGAAAAGCCUGCGGGAAUGUUUCCGGAAAUUUUUCUUUUUGCAAUUAUUCCAUUUAAUUUAAGAGCAUAUCCAGAAGUUCCUGCAGGGAUCACUCCAGGAG